AAUUACACCAGUGAAGAGGAGCCUUAACUAGACUUACCAGUAGGACUGUGCCGCUUGCACUGUGCCGUGACAUCCAACAGGAAGAAGGAAAUUCCACAUGGGAAUUCUGAAUAUUGGGUUGUUCUCCUUCAAGAUGCUGGAUAAAGAAAGAUAUAAAGAUGAUAAAUUGAGAAAUUUUUUCUACUUUUUUUUUUUU
This is a long non-coding RNA of Motacilla alba alba, 196 nucleotides long. RefSeq lists it as uncharacterized. The transcript has 2 exons. NCBI's taxonomy places the organism in Eukaryota, Metazoa, Chordata, Aves, Passeriformes, Motacillidae. The record is from RefSeq and is a predicted model, not a curated record.